ACGAUAUUCCGCUUCAUUAUUAAUAUGAAUGAAUGUUUG
Molecule: non-coding RNA, 39 nt
Filed under: Listeria monocytogenes
Lineage: Bacteria; Bacillati; Bacillota; Bacilli; Caryophanales; Listeriaceae
Also listed under: 6 other names
Source: RNAcentral